This is a long non-coding RNA of Melanotaenia boesemani (Boeseman's rainbowfish), 656 nucleotides long. RefSeq lists it as uncharacterized. The transcript has 6 exons. The record is from RefSeq and is a predicted model, not a curated record. Lineage: Eukaryota; Metazoa; Chordata; Actinopteri; Atheriniformes; Melanotaeniidae.
AUCACACGCUGCAGUUGAUUAAACAUCUUGGAUAAAAUCGCCACAAAAUCAGGCCAAGCAAACAAUAAAUAGCCAUAAUGAUAAAAAGGAAGAAAAGGAUCCAUCCUACUGAGGAGGCAAAGUUAUACAUACAGUCUUCUACGGACAAGCCAGGGUUUAUAGAAAGAUUUAUCGAUAGUUGCAAAGGUGUGUUGGAUCGGGGAACAUCUACAACAUGCAGGACAGUAACAGUUGGACAUUUUUAGAAGAGGAGUAUUCGCUGCCCAGCCCAUUGAUCCAGGCACCUUUGUCUUGGAGUACAGAGGUGAGCUAAUAUCUGUGGAGGAAUGCCGGUCCAGAUGUUACUCAGAGAGAGAGAGUACAUUUCUCUUUGAAUUUGAAUGGCAGAAUCGUCGGUGGUGUAUUGAUGCAUCCAAAGAGGAUAAAUCCCUUGGAAGACUGGUUAAUGACAACCACAGAUGUCCAAACUGCACCAUGAAAAAAAUUGUGGUGAAUGGGAGACCACAUUUCUGCCUGUUUUCUGUAGUGAAAAUAGAAGUAGGGACUGAAAUUAAUUACAACUAUGGGGAUUCUAAAUGGCCAUGGCGUAAAAAAAUGACAAAGAUGCAGACCUCUGCAGGGACAGCUGAGACUGUGUUGUCCUCCACAGAGCAGCC